ACGCUGGCGGCGCGCUUAAUACAUGCAAGUCGAACGAGAAGCCAGAGCUUGCUCUGGUGGAAAGUGGCGAACGGGUGAGUAACACGUGAGAAACCUGCCCCAAAGAUUGGGAUAAGCCUUGGAAACGAGGUCUAAUACCAAAUACCUUCCUUUUAACACAUGUUAAAAAGAAGAAAUGCUCCGGCGCUUUGGGAUGGUCUCGCGAUCUAUCAGCUUGUUGGUGAGGUAACGGCUCACCAAGGCAUCGACGGAUAGCUGGUCUGAGAGGAUGUCCAGCCACAUUGGAACUGAGACACGGUCCAAACUCCUACGGGAGGCAGCAGUAGGGAAUCUUGCACAAUGAAGGAAACCUUGAUGCAGCGACGCCGCGUGCGGGACGAAGGCCCUAGGGUUGUAAACCGCUUUCAGUAGGGACGAAAGUGACGGUACCUACAGAAGAAGCCCCGGCCAACUAUGUG
This 458-nucleotide ribosomal RNA is filed under the name uncultured bacterium. Its description in RNAcentral is "bacterial SSU rRNA". It matches the Rfam family "Bacterial small subunit ribosomal RNA", at positions 33 to 507 of the family's 1533-position model. The record is from RNAcentral.